UUAGAAGGUGCGGUUCCCUGGCUCCCGAACUCCCGGCUCCGGCCGCCAGAGAGCAGCAAGCGCCUGGGAUUCUGCAGACUGCGGACUGGACUGCGCCUUGUCGCGGCGGGUCGCUUCCAGGGACUACCUGGCUACCUGGUUGGAUCUGCUGAGCUUCUUUCCUUCUCUCAAGGACAUCAAGGGCUCUGGACAUUGUGAAAGUUUCCCUUUAAGUUACGAUGGGAAUCAAGAACAAUGCCACAUGGACCCCUGUCUGGGUAGCGCGGAAAGGAGAAACUUCUUCCUAAAGGAUCUUUUUGCUUGA
This 304-nucleotide long non-coding RNA is filed under the name Catagonus wagneri (Chacoan peccary). Its description in RNAcentral is "lncRNA (ENSCWAG00000016406.1)". The record is from RNAcentral. Lineage: Eukaryota; Metazoa; Chordata; Mammalia; Artiodactyla; Tayassuidae.